GGCGGNNUGCCUAACACAUGCAAGUCGAACGAGACCUUCGGGUCUAGUGGCGCACGGGUGCGUAACGCGUGGGAAUCUGCCCUUAGGUACGGAAUAACAGUUAGAAAUGACUGCUAAUACCGUAUAAUGACUCCGGUCCAAAGGAUUUAUCGCCUAAGGAUGAGCCCGCGUAGGAUUAGCUUGUUGGUGAGGUAAAAGCUCACCAAGGCGACNAUCCUUAGCUGGUCUGAGAGGAUGAUCAGCCACACUGGGACUGAGACACGGCCCAGACUCCUACGGGAGGCAGCAGUGGGGAAUAUUGGACAAUGGGCGAAAGCCUGAUCCAGCAAUGCCGCGUGAGUGAUGAAGGCCUUAGGGUUGUGAAGCUCUUUUACCCGGGAAGAUCAUGACUGUACCGGGAGAAUAAGCCCCGGCUAACUCCGUGCCAGCAGCCGCGGU
Molecule: ribosomal RNA, 438 nt
Filed under: uncultured Alphaproteobacteria bacterium
Lineage: Bacteria; Pseudomonadati; Pseudomonadota; Alphaproteobacteria
Description: bacterial SSU rRNA
Rfam family: Bacterial small subunit ribosomal RNA
Source: RNAcentral